Molecule: transfer-messenger RNA, 397 nt
Filed under: pig gut metagenome
Rfam family: transfer-messenger RNA
About the family: Bacterial tmRNA, also known as 10Sa RNA or SsrA, is named for its dual tRNA and mRNA-like properties. Its role is to liberate the mRNA from a stalled ribosome.
Source: RNAcentral
GGGGGUGAAUGGCUUUGACAGCGUGUAGAAGCGGUGUGUAAGCAUGCAGAGCGAUGAUGGCUAUGCUCUUUAAUCUCAGACAUCAAAAAUUUAACUGGCGAGAAUAACUACGCUCUUGCUGCUUGAUUGAAGUAUAGUAAAUCAGCUUAAUCUCUGCCACAGUGGUGGAGACAAGACAUCACCCGAUUGCCCCGUUCCGAGACGGUUCGAUAAGGUGGUGCUAAGAAAUUCGGGAAUUGAGCUGUGUGCUCCGCGGUUAUAGGUUGAAAUUUAGAGGAUAAGUUUCAGGUUGGUGGUCGAGAGCCUGCCUGAUUCCGACAAACAAGUCACGACUAAGCAUGUAGAAAGCCCAUUGGUUCCGCGUUUGGACGAGGGUUCAAACCCCUCCACCUCCACA